UGAUGAUGUAGUUUAAUUUUUGAGAAUGGUCUCUCUGCAAGAGACUGGUGGGGCUUCCCCGUUGUUA
RNAcentral lists this transfer RNA (67 nucleotides) under Plagiorchis maculosus. Its description in RNAcentral is "tRNA-Ala". Lineage: Eukaryota; Metazoa; Platyhelminthes; Trematoda; Plagiorchiida; Plagiorchiidae. The record is from RNAcentral.